This is a long non-coding RNA of Equus caballus (horse), 1554 nucleotides long. The record is from Ensembl. NCBI's taxonomy places the organism in Eukaryota, Metazoa, Chordata, Mammalia, Perissodactyla, Equidae.
GAAGAAAAUGAAGGUCAUAGUCACAGGAAGCCAAGUCUCUGAUGAUUUUGUGAAGCUGCGUACAACCCCAGGCUGUUUCCCUCUCAGACCUUUUUCUUUGUCAAAGAAUAAAGGCUUGGAGUCUUUAUUCUUGGGAUCUCUCUGACUGUCAGUCAAAUAUAGUUCCUCGCUGAUAUAGCAUCAUAAAAUGGUCCAUACGAGAAGGUCUCCAUCAGGGCGGGGGUGAAGGUCAUAAAACAAGCCCAGGCCUGGGGUCAGAAACCUUCUUUCUGAUCUUUGCUAUGCUGGUUAUGCCCUUACCAGCUUCAUGAAAGUAAGUCACGCACUUAACCUCUAUUUACUCAUCUCCCCAUUCAAAGAAAAAAAAUAAAACUUCCUCCCACAGAGUUGAGAAUAAGAAUUUCCUAGUUGGAUACCGUCUUAGAGCAGGUUCCCAGGGAGCAGAGAUUGGCAUUCUUAGGUGAGAGAUUUCAGGAGAAGGACGUAAGGGAGUUGUGGAAGUGUGUUAGAGCAGGGGAAGAGACAGACAUGAGUUCAGCUCAAAUCUAGCCUCAGCCUGAUCCCAGAGGGAGCUCUGGAGCUUGAAUAGGACCAAAGAAUUGUCCCACCUCAAGGCAAGGGGAUCAGGCAUUUAUACUCCAGUAUCAGUCAAUCACUGGUCCAGACCACCCCUGAGAGGUGAGGGGACCAUAAUCUCCCAAGCAUCUCUGAGUGAGGAGGCCCUCGUUGGCCGAGGACAAUUCUGGAUGAAGGAUGCAGCUGAGAUCCAAUAGCAGCCAAUGCUUCCAGCCACUGUGGGAUGGGUGUACUGGCACGGUGACGGGGAGCUGGGUGGUGCACCCCAGUGUCCACUGUAAGAACAGAACACUGAAAUACUAGAAUGUGGUAUGGAGGAAGCGUCUGACUGCUUCUCUAGAGAUGCUUAAAAAUAGAACCAAAUCAGCUAUCUGGCAGAGUCAAAGGACGUGGGCUUGCACGUCCUUUGAAGAGAUGUGUGGAUGAGGCACCUUCACAACAGAGUAUGGGGCUCUGCACUUCUGUUUUUCUGCAUCUUGGGAAUUCAGCUGCAAACCUGGCAGAAAUGAGAGUGUGUGGGACUCAAGAGCUCCAUCCUGAGAGUGCCCACGAAUAGUCCCAGGAGAGAGAUGAGCCAGGGAAAACUUUUCUCCUUAUUCCUAUUCUUCUUUCCCCUGUAAUAAGUGGCUGCCGUCAAAGGCAGUUCGGAAUAAUCAUUUAAAAAGCAAGGUCUACAGUCAACCCGCUGUCGAUUCUGCCCUUGUACUAAUUAGUUAAGUUCCCUAAGUCUCCCUUUCUCCAGCUGAAAAUAAGGACGAUACUUGUGGCAGAGGUGGCUGGCUGGCCAGCCAUCCACAGCCUAGGUGCGUGUCCACCUAGUGAGUGCCUACUUUCUCAGUCCCCCUUGUGGCCAUAUGUGACUUAUUCUCACCAAUGGAAUGUAGGUGGAAGUGAUUGUCUCCGAUCAGAGUGGUUAAGAAGCGGGUAAAUCCCCCACCAACAGUUUCCCCAACCAGCAGCUGAAGGUAGAGAAUUCUG